AUUGAACGCUGGCGGCAGGCCUAACACAUGCAAGUCGAACGAGUGGCGGACGGGUGAGUAAUGUCUGGGAAACUGCCUGAUGGAGGGGGAUAACUACUGGAAACGGUAGCUAAUACCGCAUACCAUCGGAUGUGCCCAGAUGGGAUUAGAUAGUAGGUGGGGUAAAGGCUCACCUAGGCGACGAUCCCUAGCUGGUCUGAGAGGAUGACCGGCCACCGUGGAAAUGGGACACGGGCCAGAGCCCUGCGGGAGGCAGCAGUGGGGAAUAUGGCACAAUGGGCGCAAGCCUGAUGCAGCCAUGCCGGGUGUAUGAAGAGGGCCUUCGGGUUGUAAAGUACUUUCAGCGGGGAGGCGUUACCCGCGGAAGAAGCACCGGCUAACUCCGUGCCAGCGGCCGCGGUAAUA
This 405-nucleotide ribosomal RNA is filed under the name uncultured bacterium. RNAcentral's name for it is "partial 16S ribosomal RNA". It matches the Rfam family "Bacterial small subunit ribosomal RNA", at positions 29 to 525 of the family's 1533-position model. The record is from RNAcentral.